Molecule: ribosomal RNA, 108 nt
Filed under: Maritalea porphyrae
Lineage: Bacteria; Pseudomonadati; Pseudomonadota; Alphaproteobacteria; Hyphomicrobiales; Devosiaceae
Source: RNAcentral
UGACUAUGGCGAAGCGCCCAGAACACGAUCCCAUUCCGAACUCGAACGUUAAAUGCUUCAGCGCCGAUGGUACUUUGUCUUAAGGCACGGGAGAGUAGGUCGUCGCCA